GGGAAUAUUGCACAAUGGGCGCAAGCCUGAUGCAGCCAUGCCGCGUGUAUGAAGAAGGCCUUAGGGGUGUAAAGUACUUUCAGCGGGGAGGAAGGUGAUAAAGUUAAUACCUUUAUCAAUUGACGUUACCCGCAGAAGAAGCACCGGCUAACUCCGUGCCAGCAGCCGCGGUAAUACGGAGGGUGCAAGCGUUAAUCGGAAUUACUGGGCGUAAAGCGCACGCAGGCGGUCAAUUAAGUCAGAUGUGAAAGCCCCGAGCUUAACUUGGGAAUUGCAUCUGAAACUGGUUGGCUAGAGUCUUGUAGAGGGGGGUAGAAUUCCAUGUGUAGCGGUGAAAUGCGUAGAGAUGUGGAGGAAUACCGGUGGCGAAGGCGGCCCCCUGGACAAAGACUGACGCUCAGGUGCGAAAGCGUGGGGAGC
Molecule: ribosomal RNA, 420 nt
Filed under: uncultured bacterium
Lineage: Bacteria
Description: bacterial SSU rRNA
Rfam family: Bacterial small subunit ribosomal RNA
Source: RNAcentral